UCCCAUAUAGUCUAGUGGUCAGGAUAUGCGGCUUUCACCCGCAAGACCCGAGUUCAAUCCUCGGUAUGGGAG
Molecule: transfer RNA, 72 nt
Organism: Vitrella brassicaformis
Lineage: Eukaryota; Vitrellaceae
Rfam family: tRNA
About the family: Transfer RNA (tRNA) molecules are approximately 80 nucleotides in length. Their secondary structure includes four short double-helical elements and three loops (D, anti-codon, and T loops).
Source: Rfam